AUGAAGAACUUCUUCAGGAAGCUCCACAUCGGGGAGGGGUCCGGGGACGGCGCGUCGUCGCCCGCCCCGCCGCUCCCCCGCAAGGGGAGCGGCGCAGGAGGAGGUGGAGGCGGAGGCGCGGCUCACCAUACCCUCCCCGAGCAGCGGCAGCAGCAGCCGCCCUCGGUGGUGUCCAGCUGGCUCGACUCCGUCCCGACGCGGCCCCCGCCCCCGACGCCCCCGCCCCCCGCGGAGGCGGAGGGGUCGGCGUCCGCGUCGCCGGGUGGGGAGGAUAGGCGGCCAUCGGGGCCGGUGGGCGAGAGGAGGCGCGCGCAGGAGGAGGGAAUGGAGCGGAGGCUCUCGCAGGAGGAGGAGGCGCUGAGGGAGCGGCGGCGAUCGCGGGAGGAGCACGCGGUGGAGGAGCGGGUCAUCAGGGAGUCGUCGGAGGCGGAGGAGAGGAAGCGGGAGAGGGAGAAGGAGGAGGACGACCUCGAGGAGUUCCAGCUGCAGCUCGUGCUGGAGAUGAGCGCCCGGGACAACCCCGAGGAAAUGGAGAUCGAGGUCGCCAAGCAGAUGAGCCUGGGCUUCCGCCGCCCCGCGAGCUCCCUCGCCGAGGUCAUCGCGGCCCGAUACUGGAAUUUCAACGCCCUUGGCUAUGAUGACAAAAUAACAGAUGGCUUUUAUGAUCUCUACGUCAUUGGGAAUGGGCCGGCAUCAAUAAACAUGCCCUCUCUGAGUGAACUGCGAGCACAGCCAGUUUCACAUAAUAGUGUCAACUGGGAAACUGUAUUGGUUCACAGAGGUGAAGAUCCUGAGCUUAUGAAACUUGAGCAGAAGGCCUCAAUCAUUGCUGUUGAACUUCGAUCGAGAAAUUCAGAAUUUGUUGGCAAUGUUUUGAUUCAGAAACUUGCUAAUUUAGUUUCUAACCACAUGGGUGGACUAAUAUUUGAUCCUGAGAACACGUCAAGAAAAUACCAGAAUAUGAUCAGAUCCCUGAGAGCACGUAUUGGAAGUGUAGUUGUGCCUCUUGGCCAAUUAAAAACUGGUCUAGCUCGUCAUCGCGCGCUGCUAUUUAAGGUUUUGGCUGAUAGCCUUCAUAUCCCUUGUCGACUCCUGAAAGGAAGGCAGUACACUGGAUCGGAUGAUGGAGCUUUGAACAUUGUGAAAUAUGACGAUGGAAGGGAGUUCAUCGUUGAUCUCGUGACAGAUCCUGGCACAGUUAUUCCUUCAGAGGGUGCUGUUUUGUCUACAGAAUUUGAAGACAGUUCCUACUCAGAUAAUCAUCAGUUAAGCAAAGCUGAUACGGCCAAUCACUUGGGAUCUUCUCACAGUGGAGUCUCAAAUUCUGCAUGUGAUUCCUUUGAGUAUGAGCUACUUGACAGAAGAUCGACAUCAAGCAACGUUGGUCCUUCUGAUACAGAUGGAGCUGCGACUAGUCAAACAAGAAAUCAACAAAAUACGAUAAGUUCUUUUGAAAAUUUAUCGGUUAGCACAUUCCCAAGUGAAAAUAAACCUGUCAUCAAUGAAAGUAGAGGCACAGAAGAAGCGGUGGCACCAAAGAACAAAGAAAAACCAGUUGGUGCAAAUAAUUCUCUGUCAAGUUCACCUUCUUCCCCAGAAGUGGGCAGCACUACGGGUUUCCGGAGGAUGAAAGUAAAGGAUAUCUCAGAGUACAUGAUUCAUGCUGCCAGGGAAAAUCCACAGUUAGCGCGGAAAAUCCAUGAGGUCUUACUUGAAAAUGGAGUAGUGGCACCGCCUGACUUGUUUUCAGAAGAUUCAAUGGAGGAGCCAAAGGAUCUAAUUGUGUGUGAUGCCACCCUAUUUCAAAGCAAGGAUGAAAUGAAAAGGAGAAUGAAUGAGGUUGGAUCAAGGGAAUAUGCUGAUCGUGGUCAUGGCCCAUCACCGUCUCAUCGUCCUGGGCAUGAACUCCAAUCAAAAGUUGUACCUCACCGGGCACUUCUGGACUCACUUAAACCUAUCGAGGGUUUGGGUAUAUACCACCAUCCGGAUAUCCGUGAUAACACAUCUCCCUAUUUUUCUCAUUAUGAACCUUCGGCACCUCCCCAGGAAACUCCGUCACAGCUCUCAAAGCAAUUGCCUGUCACGGCCGCUGCUGUUGCAACUGCUGCAGUGGUAGCGUCUUCGAUGGUUGUCGCAGCCGCAAAAUCUAACAGUGAUAUGAAAUUUGAUGUGCCCGUUGCAGCUGCAGCCACCGUUACCGCAGCUGCAGUUGUUGCAACAACUGCUGCUGUUAGCAAGCAAUAUGAACACUCGGAGCCUGGUAAUCAGCUACUUAGUUUACCAAGCACAUCUGAACGAAAUGAAUCGGUUGAGAAAGCUGCAGAUGACUUUUGGGAUAAACAGCACACUGAAAUUGGUCAUGGCCAAGAUAAUGCUCUAGAUCAAGAAAGGGAUCCUGCCGAAGUUCCUCGGGAAGCUGAAAGAACCUCAGAUAAAUCAAGCGGGACAGAAAGUGCAAAAUCUGAAGUUACUCUAGACGAUGUUGCAGAGUUUGAGAUGCAGUUGGAAGAAAUUGCAAUCGGGGAACGGAUUGGCCUUGGAUCAUUUGGAGAAGUUUAUAGAGGUGAAUGGCAUGGAACAGAAGUUGCAGUCAAGAAGUUUUUGCAACAAGAUAUUUCGAGCGAUGCUCUGGAUGAAUUUAAAGCUGAGGUGCGAAUAAUGAAGCGGUUACGUCAUCCUAAUGUUGUUCUUUUCAUGGGUGCUAUCACUCGGGUGCCUAAUCUUUCCAUUGUCACCGAAUUUCUUCCAAGAGGUAGCUUGUUCCGGUUGAUUCAUCGACCUAACAACCUGUUGGAUGAAAAGAGGCGGUUAAGAAUGGCACUUGAUGUGGCACGAGGUAUGAAUUAUCUGCAUAAUUGCACACCAGUUAUAGUCCAUAGAGACCUGAAAUCUCCAAAUCUACUGGUUGACAAGAACUGGGUUGUGAAGGUUUGUGAUUUUGGCCUAUCAAGAAUGAAGAACAAUACCUUCCUAUCAUCAAGAUCAACAGCUGGAACAGCGGAGUGGAUGGCACCUGAAGUUUUACGUAAUGAACCAUCAGAUGAGAAAUGCGAUGUCUUUAGUUACGGUGUCAUACUGUGGGAACUUUGUACGCUACAGCAGCCUUGGGAAGGUAUGAACGCAAUGCAAGUCGUUGGAGCAGUUGGGUUUCAGAGUCGCCGCCUUGAUAUUCCAGACAACGUCGACCCCGCCGUAGCAGAGAUCAUAACAAGAUGCUGGCAGACGGACCCAAGGGCGCGGCCUUCAUUCGCGGAGAUCAUGGCUGCAUUAAAACCAUUACUGAAACCCUUGCCCGCGAGCCAAGCACCAAGGCAGAGAGUACAGCAAACAGACGGGUAA
This 3339-nucleotide ribosomal RNA is filed under the name Triticum aestivum (bread wheat). Its description in RNAcentral is "partial small subunit ribosomal RNA". Lineage: Eukaryota; Viridiplantae; Streptophyta; Magnoliopsida; Poales; Poaceae. The record is from RNAcentral.